Long non-coding RNA from Eleginops maclovinus (Patagonian blennie), 1807 nucleotides. RefSeq lists it as uncharacterized. The record is from RefSeq and is a predicted model, not a curated record. Lineage: Eukaryota; Metazoa; Chordata; Actinopteri; Perciformes; Eleginopidae. The transcript has 3 exons.
UUUGGAUAUAAAAACUUUGAGGUGGUCAACAAAAAAAGAACUGCAGUCUGUAAAACAUGCAGGACGAAGAUAACAGACGGAGACGCGACAACUUCCAACUUCGUUCGACAUUUGAAGUUGCACAAAGAACGAUUUGAAGAAUACCAGAUGAGUAGAAGCAUCAUAGAUGAACCACAACAUCCUUCAAUCUCACAGUUCUUGGACAGUCAUGUAAUGCAUUACAGCAUGAGUCAUCCACAGCAGAAGGAAAUCACCAACACAAUACUGUCCGAUUUGAUUAUUGAUUGCAACCUUCCCCUGUCUAUUGUGGAACACAAGAGUUUUCGGCACUUUCUGACAGUAAUUGACAGUAAGUACAGCCCAGUGUGUUGCAGAACGUUGACAUCAAAAACAGAGAGCCUCGCUGGGGAGAAACGUUCAAGAUUAAAACUCAACUGAGCAACACUGAGCAUGUUUCAGUCACUGUGGACAUUUGGUCUGACCGAAAGAUGUGGGGAUUCCUUGGUGUCACUGUCCACUGGAUAGAGAAAGAGACAGCUAAAGAGAGGAUACAGCUAAAUACAAAUCUCUUGGCCUGCAAUUGCUUCACAGGCUCACACAGCUGAACGAAUCUGUGAGCAAUUUGAGUCAAUAUGCGAUGAAUACAACAUCAAAGAUAAAUUGGACUACAUUAUUAGUGACAAUGCUGCUAACAUGCGAAAAGCAUUCACUGUGUGCUUCCCCAGUAAACAAGGGGAUGAUGACGGAGAUCAUCUUGAUGACCCUGAUCUCUGGUGUGACUUAACCCUGGAAGAACAGCAAACGGUAGAUGCUGCUAUGGCAAAGAAACAGCUCCUGCAGUGUUUUGCGCAUACUCUUCAGCUGGUGGUGGGAGACGGUUUGAAAGAAAACAAAAGUGGCAUGUCCUUCUCGUUCCAAGUUAUCAAAACUUAGCUCAUUGCUGCACACAAGCACAACAUUCAAAGAUGUGUUUGAUAGUGAAUUUGGGAACAGAAAGGCGUCCCUGCUGCAGUCAACACAAGAUGGAACUCAACACUGAGGCAAGUAAAGGCAGUUCUCCAGUGUGAUCAUCUAAAGCUCUGUGCUAUUCUAGAAAAGGCUGGGCAUAAGGAGUUGUCAUUCACACCACGAGAGUGGAAUCUGUUGAAGGAGUUGGUGGACAUCUUGAAGCCGUUUGGAGAAGCAACUGAUUUGACACAGGGAGAGAAGGUCGUCACAAUCAGUGCAGUUGUUCCAGCCGUCUUGUCCCUCAAUCAUCACCUUGAGAAGCUGAAGCCUGAAGUUCGUUUCCUGAGCGGCCUGGUCGGAAGUCUCCAGGCAUCCCUGAACAAAAGAGUUUGUGGGAUCUUCAUUAACGUGAAAAUGGCCGGGAUUUAAGAUGGGAUCACUGCCCCCUUUUCAGACCCAGUCUACCUCAAAGCAGCCGCCUUGGAUCCAGCCUUUUCUCUGCUGUGGGUGGAGCACCAUGUACUGGUCAAUCGUGACAUCAAGGCAGAGGUGGCUCAACAAGUUAAAGAGACUGAGCAACCUGUGCCUCUGGUUGAUGAAGAAGAGCAAGAGGACCUUGGACAAGGAGAAGGGCUGUUUGCUGCAUACCAUAGGAGGCAGAAGAAGGAUGUUGGGACCACUCCAGCACUACAGCUAAGUCACUACCUAGACACAGCCGAAGGACAGAACGGCCUUUUGUUCUGGGCACUGAACAUGAAGUCUCUUCCUUCGCUCUUCCGAAUCAUCAUCUAAUUGGCACAAAAAUAACAUGUAUGUAUAUGUUCUUGGUAACAGAAAAAAUGUUCACUACUUAAAUUGA